UGGGGGAUAUUGCACAAUGGGCGAAAGCCUGAUGCAGCGACGCCGCGUGGGGGAUGAAGGCCUUCGGGUUGUAAACUUCUUUUGCUCUGAACAAGGCAUGCUAAUGGGUGUGUUGAGUGUAGGGGUUGAUUAGCGCCGGCUAACUACGUGCCAGCAGCCGCGGUAAUACGUAGGGCGCGAGCGUUGUCCGGAAUUAUUGGGCGUAAAGGGCUUGUAGGUGGCUGGUUGCGUCUGUCGUGAAAGCUCAUGGCUUAACUGUGGGUUUGCUGUGGGUACGGGCUGGCUGGAGUGCAGUAGGGGAGGCUGGAAUUCCUGGUGUAGCGGUGGGAUGCGCAGAUAUCAGGAGGAGUACCGGUGGCGAAGGCGGGUCUCUGGGCUGUUACUGACACUGAGGAGCGAAAGCAUGGGGAGCGAAGAGG
This 419-nucleotide ribosomal RNA is filed under the name bacterium. RNAcentral's name for it is "partial 16S ribosomal RNA". It matches the Rfam family "Bacterial small subunit ribosomal RNA", at positions 355 to 776 of the family's 1533-position model. The record is from RNAcentral.